Molecule: ribosomal RNA, 253 nt
Filed under: uncultured Eubacteriales bacterium
Lineage: Bacteria; Bacillati; Bacillota; Clostridia; Eubacteriales
Description: uncultured Clostridiales bacterium partial 16S ribosomal RNA
Rfam family: Bacterial small subunit ribosomal RNA
Source: RNAcentral
UACGUAGGGGGCAAGCGUUAUCCGGAUUUACUGGGUGUAAAGGGAGCGUAGACGGUUACGCAAGUCUGGAGUGAAAGGCGGGGGCCCAACCCCGGAACUGCUCUGGAAACUGUGCGGCUAGAGUACUGGAGGGGCAGGCGGAAUUCCUAGUGUAGCGGUGAAAUGCGUAGAUAUUAGGAGGAACACCAGUGGCGAAGGCGGCUCACUGGACUGUAACUGACGUUGAGGCUCGAAAGCGUGGGGAGCAAACAGG